Molecule: ribosomal RNA, 492 nt
Filed under: uncultured bacterium
Lineage: Bacteria
Description: partial 16S ribosomal RNA
Rfam family: Bacterial small subunit ribosomal RNA
Source: RNAcentral
AGUGAACGCUGGCGGUAGGCCUAACACAUGCAAGUCGAACGGCAGCACAGUAAGAGCUUGCUCUUACGGGUGGCGAGUGGCGGACGGGUGAGGAAUACAUCGGAAUCUACUUUUUCGGGGGGGAUAACGUAGGGAAACUUACGCUAAUACCGCAUACGACCUACGGGUGAAAGCAGGGGAUCUUCGGACCUUGCGCGAUUGAAAGAGCCGAUGUCGGAUUAGCUAGUUGGCGGGGUAAAGGCCCACCAAGGCGACGAUCCGUAGCGGGUCUGAGAGGAUGAUCAGCCACACUGGAACUGAGACACGGUCCAGACUCCUACGGGAGGCAGCAGUGGGGAAUCUUGGACAAUGGGCGCAAGCCUGAUCCAGCCAUACCGCGUGGGUGAAGAAGGCCUUCGGGUUGUAAAGCCCUUUUGUUGGGAAAGAAAAGCAGCAGGUUAAUACCCCGCUGUUCUGACGGUACCCAAAGAAUAAGCACCGGCUAACUUCGUG